CCUACGUGAGGCAGCAGUGGGGAAUAUUGCACAAUGGGGGGAACCCUGAUGCAGCGACGCCGCGUGGGUGAGGAAGUACUUCGGUAUGUAAAGCCCUAUCAGCAGGGAAGAAAAUGACGGUACCUGACUAAUACGCCCCGGCUAACUACGUGCCAGCAGCCGCGGUACUACGUAGGGGGCAAGCGUUGUCCGGAUUUACUGGGUGGAAAGGGAGCGUAGACGGCGUGCCAAGUCCGAUGUGAAAGGCCGGGGCUCAACCCCGGGAAUGCAUUGGAAAACGGCAGGCUGGAGUGCAGGAGGGGAGAGCGGAAUUCCUAGUGUAGCGGUGAAAUGCGUAGAUAUUAGGAGGAACACCGGUGGCGAAGGCGGCUUGCUGGACUGUAACUGACGUUGAGGCUCGAAAGCGUGGGGAGCAAACAGGAUUAGAUACCCGUGUAGUC
Molecule: ribosomal RNA, 440 nt
Filed under: uncultured bacterium
Lineage: Bacteria
Description: partial 16S ribosomal RNA
Rfam family: Bacterial small subunit ribosomal RNA
Source: RNAcentral